UCUCCGUAGGUGAACCUGCGGAGGGAUCAUUACUGAGUGAGGGUUUAACCGCCCGACCUCCAACCCUUUGUGAAUCGUACUCGUUGCUUCGGGGGCGACCCUGCCGCUUCGGCGGUGCGGCGCCCCCGGAGGCCAUUAAACACUGCAUCAUUGCGUCGGAGUCUUAAUGAAUUUAAACAAAACUUUUAACAACGGAUCUCUUGGUUCUGGCAUCGAUGAAGAACGCAGC
RNAcentral lists this unclassified non-coding RNA (229 nucleotides) under uncultured fungus. Its description in RNAcentral is "sequence contains ITS1, 5.8S rRNA gene". The stretch from base 181 to 229 matches the Rfam family "5.8S ribosomal RNA", at positions 1 to 49 of the family's 154-position model. The record is from RNAcentral. Lineage: Eukaryota; Fungi.